CAGAACACCUCUCCUCCCCCCACACUUUCUUUUCUUUCCUACUGACAAUGUAAAGAGACAAAACCUGGGACCACCUCUAGAAUAGUCUUUCUUCAGUUCUCUUAGGGAGAGGAGUCUCUCUUGCCAUUCCAUGGAGACUUCUCCACAAGAAACAGGUCUCUUGAGGCUUUUCAUUUCCAUGAACUGCAGCCACCUGGAAAUCUGCAAUGGUGAAGUUUCUCCCAUCUUUUUUCAGCCUUCCCACAGCUGCAUUCAUGGGCCAUGCCAGCUUAUUGGGGUGCUAUUUUAAGGAUGUGCUGUUCAAAAACAAAGGUUCUCUUCAUCUAUCUCUGAGAUUAUCUUCAACUCCAAUAACAGAGGUCUUCUUCUUCUUCUUCCCUGGGAGCAAACGGUCUUCAUCACCUUUACCUCUCUCUAUUCAAACUUCUCAUUUGGAUCACACCUACUCCAACAUAUGCUUCAGUGUGGGUGCCUCUGUUCAUGGCUGUGGUUAGAACUAUAGUCCCUCAAAAUGCAUUCCAUGAGUUACAGGGAAAAAAGUCUGAUGUAUUGAUCAUAUCUUCAGCCUAGUCUUACAAGAGAAUUUCAGCCCAAGACUAAUCUCCUCAUUCUCUUCCCAUCUGGGACUUGACUCCUUCUUCACUGACCUUCACGUCUUCAUGCUGUUCUCUACCAGUCUUCAGUCAUUCCAUUCUCUCACUCUAGAGAGGACUGAGGUCUACAGGUGUCAUCUAUGCACUAAAAGAGUUAAUCUUACCUAAGCCUUGCAUGAGGGACUGGCCUCUCGCAGUUGCUCCUGUGAUUCCCACUGGGAGCGGCCUUGGAGGCUGGCAGCAUUGAUUUCGGCUGCAUAGCCUCCUGUGGUACCCGGACGGCUCUUUUCAGCAUGAUUCCAGCGGCCACGCUGAGGGGCUGUGUGGGAACCCAGUGGCAGCAGGAAAUGGCCAGGCAGACGCUCAGGAGCCCAUGCUGUGGCCCAGCCCAGCCCAGAGCUGCUCCCGGGCCCGGCAGACCCCAGCUCAGCGCGGGCUGGGAUGCGUGUUGGCAGCAUGGUAGCGGCUGAGGACGGCCCAGCACCACCAGGCCGCGGCAGGGAACUCCUCUCUUCAAAAGCCGGAAGGAAGAGAGCUUUUUCUAGGCUUGUUUGGUUUAAAAUGUGAACCUCAGAGAGGCGUGUUCAGCUCCUUAAUUGGGUCAUCAGCAUGCCUAUUCUCAGAGACAACUAGCAAUUGGUUUUUGCCGGGCACAGAGGAAGCUCUUAGCAGUAUCUCUUAGAAAAUCACUUCCGUGGUUGACUCAUUUCCUCCUCACCAAAAAAAUCAAUUAAUACAAAACCAGCACAUUCCUCCAGUGAAAACUUGAUCAUUACUCCUUUGAGACUAAAGUGCACAUCAAUCUCUGCAAUAUGAAGCCUGGAAUAAUAUAUUAGGACCUCAAGUGCUUGUUGAAGUGAUCUGUGAGAUAAAAUCAGACAGAUGUCAUUGCCAAUACCUGGCUGGUAGGCCAAGUAAGACGGUGAUGUAUCCACUGAUCUGCUUUCAGUCUGUUUGAUUCUGAGCAUAUUUUGGAGAAAGAAGGAAAAUAGAACAUUCCCAUGAUAUUCUCCAGUAAAGAGGAAUAAAAGAACCAGAAAUACAUCAGUAGGCAUCAUAAUAAGCACUUGAGAAGCAAUAGCGAUAGCCUGAUGUCUGUAAUUCCUCCAGAGCACUAUAACAGCAGAGCCCCUGAAAUGUAACUCCACUUGAUCUUUCCACUCUUUACUUAUGCUCUGACAUCUGAAAACACUUGUAUUCUUGUUUCUUAUGCUGGACAUCUUGCUCUGGGCAUAGGUUGAAACAUCUGCAUGCUGUGAGGUGAUAAAUAUUGACAUAUGGUAUUACAAUAAUAACAGAUUACAUUUUUCUUUUGUUGUAUUUGAUAAUAGAGAUGCUGGAACUGUUAACCCCAGUAGGACUGGAUCUUUUCUGUUGUUCUCCUCCUACUACUGAAUACCUCCACACUGCUUCCCUCUCUUUCUGUGAAUUGCUCCUGAUCAAUAGCUAUUGAUCCUCUCUAUCCCUUCCUUCUAUAAUUUGGUCAUUACUAAGAGCUGAAAGCCUUCUCCACAGCUCAUUACCUAGCUGUUUUGAAAUUACAACUAAAAGCAGAGCUGAUUGAUGCACACUUUGAAGCAAGAGAAAGAGAAAGAGCAGGAGAACAUUCUCCUGCAGGAAGAGCCACAGGAUCUCGUAUUCUUCCCGACCUGUUUCAGUUAAACAGUUUCUUCCUGCUCCCUUAGUAGUUCUCAAUCUCAUACUUGUAGAGCUGGGAAUUUGGGCACUACUGCUGCUGACACAGUGUUUGGGGUAAACUCAGGCACCAAUGCUGCUCAGUAAUUCUUGGAUCAGAAUUAUCUUACCAGAAAAUCUUGGUUGAUCUUAGAAAACUGGUGGUGACUGAAGCAAUAGGGGUACUUUCACACAGAUUUAUCCAGCAACAUUAGUAUAUAACUAUUUAAACAGUUCUCUGAAUUGCAGUAACUGGUCAAACCUGUUCUAACAAUACCUUCUGGCAUUGAGAGCAAGCAACUCCAGUGAAGCUGCUUCUGGAGGGGAGCUGAUGUUUCAAAUGAAAGUAUUUUAUAUUAGUUUGGACUUUCUCCAGGCAACUGUAAAUUAUUUUUGGGACAGGGCAAAGUCCUUCAGCUAUCUCCAAGAUCAAUCAUCAUUCUUAGUUUGCAGCAUUCAGUAUAUUUUUUUUCCCACCUUAGCAAGACAUAUCAUUGUAGGGAGAUUGUUUAUUCCCACCGUGUAGUUUAACACAGCUGUUAAUGACUUGUGACUUCCUCAUGCAGUCAGGCAGAGAAGACUUGUUUCAUGCUAAGCAGCCAUCCAGCUCAUUAUCUUUCAGACUAAGGUGGUCCAGAAGUCUGCAUACUAUUUAAAAUCAGAACUUGUUUCUGUCCCACACCACAAACUUAUUUUUUAACCCCCUGUUAUUGUAGCAUAAAACAGUAAAAAUUACAGCUUGCAUGGUUAUAUCCCUGUGUCUCCUUCUAUUCAAGUGAUUGCUCAGUAAAAUCACCCACACAAAAUUCUCUGUCCCUCUUUGCCAAGGUGGAACAUGAAGUCUUUCACAGUGGACUUGUAAGAACAAAUACAUAAGCAACCAUCUGGUUCCUGGGAUCUGUGUCAGUGGGCAUAAAGUAGGUAUAUCAGCUAGGGGAGCAUGUUUGGGCUGUUCUUAGAUCCUAAUGUUAAGCUGCAAAAUCAGACUUCCCAAAGGGAAGAUUUUGAUAAGGCAUCUAAUCAGUUGUGGAAAGUUCUUUCAGAUUCAGUGCUAAAUUGUGUGCUGGGUGUCAUUUAGUCAGGCAGAAUUGAGUUGUCUUCCUGCUCCAAGCCAACAAGAGCUCAGGUCAGUACUCUCAGCAAGUUGCUACUACUCCAGCUAAUAUAGUCUGACCCCCUACGAGGCUUAAUUCCUCAGAUUUAGAAUAAUGUUAUCUAUCUCCACACGGCUUUCUGUCAGUCCAGGCCACAAAAAGAAAAAACAGUCUAGCCACAGAAUAUGGCACUAACUGUAAAUUAUGUCUAGUUUGUUGUUAAAAGAAUGGGGCUGCACUCAUCUUAAAGGUAAUACUCUGAACAUUUGCAGUGAUUUACUGCAUAAUAAAAUAUUUAAUUUGCUACUACUUAUGUAGCUCACAGCCUGGAUUAGAAAGAUUUAUUCAAGUCCAAUGCAGAUGUCUCUUCUGCCCUGUGCAACUUCUUACUCCAUCCUUAUCAGCAUACAAAUGAGUGAAUUCAAACAGUGUGCUGAGCAUACAUGCGUGCUGCAAAGGAUAGCUGAGUAUGAGGACAAGGGUACUUUCUGUGUGUACACCUGUAUUUAGAAAUGUGUAUAUACACACAUGCUGGUAAGCUUUGAUUCAGAGAAGUCAAUUGAAUGUGAGAAAAAGUGCAAUUUAUUGGGUCUUUGAUUCAAAGGAAGUUAAUUUCAGGAUUCUCUAAAGAGCCUGUUCUUGCAUACCAGCUCUCCCUUCCCAGAAAAGUCCAAUUUCCUGCCUGUGUAGUCCUGACCUUCCUGUGGAAGGCUUGGGAAGCAGACUCCAGCCAGGUACCUGCAGUGCUCAGUGAAUAAGCACAGUAACAGGGCACCACUCAAGAGACACUAUGAUGCAACUCUAUGAAGAAAGCCUUCAACUACUGUAAUAGCUGUAAUACAUCAGCAGGAGUGAUCUGUCUCAAUUCACUGAUCAAAAACUGCUCACAACAUGCAAAAGGCAAAACCUGCUGUGGUUAAAGUCAGCAAAGUGCAAUGCCAUGCAGCUUGUUCUGUUUGUGUAAGUAACUCCAACGCCCAGCAUCAAUCAAGAGGUGAAAGUUGCUGACAAAGGCCACCUUUCAUGGAACAUUUCCUCAUCCCACCAUUUUCUCAGCCCUUUGUUUCUCUCCUGGGAAACAAGAAGCUUUUUUGUUUUGCUCUCAAAUUCUCCAAAAGAGUAUGUUUCCCAGCAGUGUCUAAUAAAGUUCCCUUGGAGCACAUCACAGUUCUCCAUCAUCUUCUGGUGAUGAAGCCUCAUCCUUCCAAUACUUGCAGGGAAGAGUGUAGAGAAGUCACAGAGCAUGCCGUCUGUAAGAUGUCCUCAGCAGCAGUCACAUACAGCUCAAUCUCCUCCUUGCUGACAGCAGGGACAUGCAGUACACAACUCAUAGCCAAACUCUUCACUCCUUUGUCAUGAACUGAACUGAAAGCAUAAGGCUAUUCAAAUCAAGUCAUAUUGUAUGGAGGAAGGGCAGUCCUCCAACAGGCUUCCUCCUUGGAGAUCUGUCCCCUAAGAUAAGAAAAAACUACUUAGUCAUGGUGACUAAGCUGUGGACCCCUUCCUGCUUCGGGACCCCAUGUUAUCUCCCUGUAAACUAUUGGUCAUUUUACCCUGGUCUCAGACCAUUGGUCCUUCUCCCGAUUCUCCCCUUCCCUAUAAAAACCCCAGCUUUUGCCCAGCUCAGUGGAAGUCAUCACUGGACCCCUUUGCUGCAGCCUGCCAAUAAAGGACCCUGUGGAAUGCUACACGGUCUCCCAUCUCUCAUCUAUGCACAGCUGGGGUAACCCAUGAGAGGAGCUGGGCUGAUCUGAGCUGAUCACUACAGAACUGAAAUCACAUCUAAAAGAGCUGAUCAUUUGAAGACCACUCAUAAGAGUUACGCCUGGCAGAAACUGCCUGAGACUCCCUGGACAGCCAUUCCUUGCAGGACCCCUGUCCAGGAUAGUCGCUGAGAGUGCUGGAAGUUGGAAAGACCUCUGAACCAACCACCAACAAUAUUCAGCACUUAGGAAGAUGGCUUCCAGAUGGGAGACAUAAUUUCUUAUUCUUCAUAAAUUAUGCGGUAGCACAACCUGUUGCUUCCACUCUUUUAUUCUACCUAACCAAAAGUGAAGUUUACACUUGAUUAUUUAAGCAGAUGUAAGAUUCUUAGCAAUGACAGUUAGACUUCAAUCUCAUUGGUUUGCAGUCAGGAAUAAGUACUGCAGGGAACAUGGGCUUAUAUAAUGGUACAUUUUCACCAGGUACACACUCCUGCAGAUCUAAAAACUGCAUAUAUUUUGGUAGACAUAGCAGCAUCAGAGAUCAAAAAAAAAAAAUCUCUCAAGCUAAUAAAUACCAAUUUGCAUUAACUUAAAUGCCACAUUCAAUGUUGCCAGCAAGUUUGAGAUUUUUACAUUGGAGGCAGAGAGAUGCCAGCUCCUAAAUACCUCUUGCAGGCCUUAUUAACAAAAAGCACCCUGUUAAGAAGGCUGCAGAGAGAUUAUGUAUGAUCAGAUGAAAGCAGGAUUAGAUAUGAAUAUCUGAAUCACACUAAGUGAUACCUGAGGGAGGCUGGAAACUGAAAUUCAUAUACAGAUAUUCUGCACUGAUCUGAUAGUCCCACAGCUCAUUAAACCCUUUGUAGCUCAGGCCUGUGGCACUAUGAUCACAUUUCUUUAAUGCAAAGAGAUAGAAGUGAACAUUUUAACUAUUUUAAAUUUUGGGGUUUUUUUAAUAGCAAGUAUCUUGAAGAAAUAAUAUUCAAUUUUUUGGUUGAAAAUAUAUAUUUUUUUAGCUGUUGUGGUUCAAAAACAAGAUGUAAAAGAUUGUGGCUGGAAUUCAUGAAAGGGAAACAGUAUAAAUCUAAGUGUUGAAUGUGCAAGGGCUCUUCCCUACAAAAUUCUUGUUCUCAAAGUAUUUUUACCCACAUAGAGCUGUUUGAGAGAAGGUUUGUGGGCAAUGGCCACAGUCAAGGCACCCUCCACAUUUAUUCUUUUUUCCGUGUCAAAACAAAACAUGCAACUAGUUCUCUUUUUCUGAUCUAUAACACAGGCUAUAACACUGAGCUGAUGGAUAAACCGUGUCUUUUACUAUUUGUGUCAAACACAAUACACUGUUUACUCACUUGCUAAUAAACUUAUGCCUCCUAGAAAAGCCUCUCAUACUGUAAUUUUAGAAUUUUCAACACCUUCUCUGCCUACAAUAUAUCAGUGCCAAAAGAAUGUGCAGUUAGCAAGAUUUGUACUUUGUUGGCUGUAGGUCUGCACACAUCGUGCUCUAUUUCACACUCCCAUUUCCUACUAAUUUCUUUGUGAGCACUGCACUACCACAAGGAUUCAGAAUCAAGAUCCAGCUACAGGCACAAAGUAUCCCUUACUGGAUAACAACAGGAAAUAUUUUCCUUCCAAACCAUACAGAUUUUAAUAUAUUUUCUAACCAACUGCCCCCCAUCUCUGUCCUUUGGAAAGAUACAACCUGUCUAAAAAAUAACAGUAAUUGUCUGGUGCCUUAUCACAAAAACAUUGAUCCUUUCUUUAUUGUACUAUGAAAGUACGUACCUGCAUGUGGUGGAGCGGCAGACUGUAUCUUGUAUACAUGAUCAAUAUAUUCAGGGUUCAUAGAGUAAAAGUCCUUGUAAAAGAAUCACAGAAUUAUUAAGGUUGGAAAAGACCUCUCAGAUCACCAAGUUGAACCAUUAAGAAGACACAAUAUAUGGAGUUUGUAAUUUGAUAAAUACCGCCCCCUCCACAAGAGACACUAAAUUCAGCGGGUAUAUGAUAAUACAUUCUUCUUAAUUUAGUACCAAAUCUUGGUUAUAUGGGUCAGAGGUAGCCUCUACUAGAUUAAAUAAACCAUAUAUAUAUUCAUUGCAAACUGCAAUAAAACAUCCUUUCUACUAUUGUGCCACUUCAGCAGACGAUUUUAAAAAGAGAAACAUCUGUCUAUAUUUAAAAUAUAGCUAAAUUGAAGAGAUAUAUGACCUGAUGGGAGAGAGUGGAGACAUAUCCAGACUCCAGAGCAGGGCCCAGUGACAGCACAAAAAACAAUAGGCACAAACUGAAAUAUAAAAAAUUCCACUCCUACAUAAGCAAAAAUAUUUUACUGUGACAGUGAUAAAACACUGGUUGCCAAGAAUGGUUGUAGCAUAUCCAUUCUUGUAGAUACACAAACCUUUGGACAUGGCCCUGGGCAAUGACCAUGGCCAUGGUAUGACUGACCCUGCUGGAAGCUGGGGUGGAGGUUGGACUGUACCUUUUCCAGAGGCCCUUUCCAAUCUCAGCCCUCCUGAGAUACAGUGAUUGUGUGAUGCUUGAACAUGCUGGACAGGGACUCGUUUUCAAUCUUCAUACCAAUAAAACUACAAAAUUAUUAUGUGCACCAUUUUCCAGUUCAAGACUUCUGUCCUGUACUGCAGGCUCAGGUGAAAUAUGAGGUGGAGAAAGAGCAUUUCCCAGAGCUGGAGCUGCUGGCAGACGUAACUCUGGCACCGGUUACAAAAUGCUACAGGAGAGGCAGUACACAGUCUCAGUAACUUCAAGGAAAAUCUCUCAUACCCAGGAAAGCAAAGAAAAGCUCCUCAAAGUUAGCUAUGUCACAGGUUCCUGCUGCAAGGUUUCUCACACCUGCUGUCAUGCAUUUUAUCAGGUGCAUCCCUGCAGGAUGCUGAGCUAGAGUAACAACCAGUCCAACUGUAGCCCUAGUCCAAGAAUCUGAUUCCAAGAUAUGCUCAGUGCUAACAGCACAUUCACUGAGCACAUCUCCAUCAGAUCAUGUCCAACAGCAGCACAAAAUGGGUAGAUCACUAGUUCUCAUCACCAUAAGAAGAGAAAGAAAUAAAUUUAGUAUUUUUGCAUCUAAUUCUUCACAAAUAUUGUGAAUUCUCAGACUGGGCUGUCAAGAUCACUAAGAAGUCAGUCUCUUCCUAUUUUUUCUGAGAAGAAAAAAGAAACAUCAUCUCCCUCUCUUCCAAUAGAGUUCUUGGAAAACUACUGUGAAGUAUCUUACUUGUUUUUUAAAUGCACACAUCACUGUCUAGAGAGGGAAAUACUCAGUGAACACUUAUGUUUCUGCAUUAUAUGAAACUAAUAAAGCAUAUUUAAGAAACUAAUACAGUGUAAUGAGAAAAGAAUGCUAGAUAAAUUUUGACAGUGACAAUCUAAAAGUAUUAAAAUUCUACUGUUUAGAUAGGAUUUGUAGUAGAUAGUCAUUGUAGUUGAUUUCUGCCUAUUGUAUUGUUCAAACACCCUCAAGUGAAAGUAAAAUCUGUUUGUCCGUGGACCAAACUUUUUGAUGGCCUCAGUAAAAAAUUACACAGUUUGGCUCUUUCUCAACAGUUCAUUUUAAAAGUCUGCAGUGCUCCAUCAUGAAAUUGUUUCCUGUUAGCCUGUGCCUCAAUCCUGCAAGUGAUGCAUGCUAACAUUGUGGUCUCUGAAUUAAUCCACUGAACUCAAAAGGAAUACUCAGGCUGUGUGAAGUUUAGCACAUACAGACAUGCUUUCAGGGUGAAGACUUUGAGAUG
Parus major (Great Tit) is the source of this 8804-nucleotide long non-coding RNA. RefSeq lists it as uncharacterized. The record is from RefSeq and is a predicted model, not a curated record. NCBI's taxonomy places the organism in Eukaryota, Metazoa, Chordata, Aves, Passeriformes, Paridae. The transcript is spliced from 3 exons.